CUUUGGCUCCUGAAUAAAAAGAGUAUUCUAACCAGAGACAAUUUACUGAAAAGGGGCUGGAAAGGAGACAAGCAUUGUGUGAUGUGUGGAAAAGAGGAGAAUAUUGAUCACUUAUUCUUCUCCUGCUCUGUUGCUAGACUCAUUUGGAACUUGGUAGGGUGUGCUUUUGACCUUAAACUUAUUCCAAAAUAUCUGAAUGAUUGUUUUGGAAGCUGGUUGAAUAAAUUCAACAAAAAUGAUAAGAAAAUGGUUUUGACCGGUACCGCUGCUCUACUAUGGGCAAUUUGGAAUAGUAGGAAUGAUAUUGUAUUUGGCAGGAAAAACAUAAACGACCCGAUUGGGAUCGUCAAAAGAAUGUGCAAUUGGAUCACUGACUGGGCUGUUUUGCAGAAGAAGGACCCAGGGGAAAGAACGUUGAUGCUGGGGGCAAGACUCAUCGAGCAGGUGGCAAGUGAAAUCUACAAAGCUUCGCAGGGGUGGCGCUUCGGAGUUCCAAGGCUACAAAUGUGGUGCUUCGGGGGGCAAAAAUCUUCUACCUCUUCGGAUCUUACCAUUUUGCUUUCAUGA
Molecule: ribosomal RNA, 567 nt
Filed under: Triticum aestivum (bread wheat)
Lineage: Eukaryota; Viridiplantae; Streptophyta; Magnoliopsida; Poales; Poaceae
Description: partial small subunit ribosomal RNA
Source: RNAcentral